Long non-coding RNA from Drosophila ananassae, 588 nucleotides. RefSeq lists it as uncharacterized. The record is from RefSeq and is a predicted model, not a curated record. NCBI's taxonomy places the organism in Eukaryota, Metazoa, Arthropoda, Insecta, Diptera, Drosophilidae. The transcript has 2 exons.
UAAGUGAAAUGAGUUUGAAAAGUUUUCCCGAAAGCGGCCAUCCAGCAGGCCUGACCCAAUUACCCAUUUAGGCCCAAAGACCAAAUCGGUCUGUGGUGGUGUGAGUGCCGAAGAAAUUACCAAAAGAACGCCAGAAGACGUCGAGAUGUGGAGAUGUGUGUGGGGAAGCAACGAGGGCACAAGACGAGUAACAGUUAUGUGACGGGCAGACAAUCGAAAGUUUAUGUCAUGCUGCCGGCAGCAACGCAGCAGCAGCAACGCAGCAGCAACACAGAAGCAACACCGCAGAAACAUCAGUAAAAGCCAUAAGAUAAAGCCAUAAUCCGACAGCAGAUGUUUUUUCGGUUUUGGUUUUGGUCUUUUUUAUUAUUAAGGAAUGAUAUUCAGAUACUUGUUUAAUGAUCGAAGAAUCUGAAAGUAACUGGAUUCAAGGCCUACAGCAGCAUGAACAAUGAGAGCAGCAACGCCGCAAGAAAAGAAAAAGUAACUUCACACCGACUCCACACCAGCUUACUCACACACUUGAAGCGUCCGUCCGUGGCUGACCAGUAAAUCGAAAAAGAUACGAGAAAAAAGAGAAACAGAAAA